Molecule: long non-coding RNA, 1467 nt
Organism: Bolinopsis microptera
Lineage: Eukaryota; Metazoa; Ctenophora; Tentaculata; Lobata; Bolinopsidae
Exons: 3
Source: RefSeq, a predicted model, not a curated record
CACGAUACAACACAUCUACAACACAUCCGAGAGACCUGAAAUUGUAGAGAGAAGUGGUUCUGAUAGAACUGACUUGUGGUGACCAAGUCGUGCGUAAAUAAGUAAGGUACAACAGCUAGAGCUGGCAUCGACGGGUGAGUUUGGAAAGCUCAGCUCUUUACGGUAGAGAUUGGGUUACCAGCUCUACUCAACUGCUUUGGACUGACGAAGAGAACGAAGAAGAAAGCACUGAAUGAGGCUGCUUUGGUCGCUCUUCAAUGUUCUUAUGCCAUUUAGUUAGCCCGUGACAGCAAGAAAUGGUCUACCUUCUACGAAAUCGCAAGGUAGAAGCCAUAAACUGCGAAAGCUGGACCCAUAAAACAUGCGAAAGCUGCAACGAGGAUCGCAAGUACUGGUGGAAUACACGUACAGUAAUGGCUUGCUGACUAGAUGUAUAGAUGGAGUUGCUAUCGAACGAUACAGAACUCAGGAGGGGAUCUACAAUUUGCAAAGACGAUUUAUUUUCGGCCAGAAAUUUACGGAGUUCAUUCGUCUUCAGUCUUGGUGCAGUUGUUUCUCUCACUAUCAGUGACGGUUCGAGGAGACACUGCAUCGCAAUGCUCGGUGAAGAUACGGGGAUAUGAGGCUGUUAUCUCUCUCUCAAAGUCCACUGCACGUCGUCACAGAGCCUCAAUCCGAUCAGAGCAAGCAGCAAAGAUCAAAAGAGACUUAACGUCCAAUGUCAGACAGAAAAAUUUCGACGGAAAACUCCUGGCAGACCUCGGAGGAUUUAGGAAAGUAAACAGACUGGCUGUGGUCCUAGUACAAGAUGAGGAGAACAAGAUACUCGCAAUCUGUAAGACGAGUGACUCUACAAGGACUAUGACGAAGCAGACAAAGUGAAGAAGACUCUCGACGACCGGAGCCUAGCAGAUAAAAUGAUAGCCGUUGGAUUUGAUACGACAUCAUCCAAUACUGGUGGAGUUCACAAAAGGGCAUGUACUAUUCUUCAGCAGCUCCUCAAUCGACAAUCGACAGAUACUCAGGAUGGCCUACCCGCCUGGAGACAUCACGUCCUGGAGGCGGAGCUUGUAAGAGGAUCUGCCUCCAAGCAACUGUUCGGUGACACAACAUCACUCGAAAUAACCCUUUUCAAGAUCAAGAAGACCUCCUGGGAAGAUCUCUAUCUGCAGAACAUCGUCCUUCCCGAUAUCCUUACUUGCUACAGGAACGACGUAGGAUUAGGAGACCUUCUAUCCUUCAUUAAUCACAUCCGCCAACUCAACAACCAGCCCAGGAGAUUACAAUGAAUUCCUAGAGCUUGCUAAACUAAUCGAGUGAGAAAGCAUAGAGAUGAAGAAAGGAUUCCUCCAGAUACAAUGACCUGGAGCUGACCACCAUCCACCAUGCCAUAUACAUUAUGAAGACGGCUCUUCUUCAUUAGCUACCAUUUCACUGGACGAAGAAGAGAAACGUGUUCACUUUGUU